This 5122-nucleotide unclassified non-coding RNA is filed under the name Haliotis rufescens (red abalone). RNAcentral's name for it is "potassium voltage-gated channel protein egl-36-like, transcript variant X14". The record is from RNAcentral. Lineage: Eukaryota; Metazoa; Mollusca; Gastropoda; Lepetellida; Haliotidae.
ACAAUCCAUGUGCUGACAUUUUCAGUUUACCCCGAGGUAACAAUGUGCAUAUACCUUAGUCGCUGCAUCCGUCAAAGACCAGCGAUCAGUAUUGAUCUACUUCUAGUGAGCCUCACAUCGGCUUAAAUGUAAAAGACAUUUGAGUCAGGGUGGAAUUCUUGGGUAGUCGGCCGUCUGGGUGCUGUAUCUCCAGGAUACAUAAUCCACAAACACCGGCAGAGGCUGAUGUUAAGCUGGUGUCGAGAGGCAGGGAGCCUCCGUGGCAUGUCAGGGUACACAGGGUGGAUAAGUCUUAAGCUGUGGGACAAGUAGACAGGAGGAAUUCAAUCUGAUUUUGGUGGCUGAAUGGUGUUCUAUGUCAAGGGGCAAGAUUGAUUUUUGAUCCUUAGUUCCAGUGUGGUCGGAUUGUUGAGAACAGUGUGGUGCCACUCAUGCCUCUGGUAUCUAUCUACCCACACUGGGAUGAAUCUUUCCAUCACAUCACCACGGUGUAACUAGAAAUCAUUUCAAAAUGACGGAAUCUCGUAGUGCCGGCAAAGCAGGUGGCAAGUCGGAGCCUGCACCAUCUAUCGUUAAAUUCAAUAUUGGGGGAAAGAAGUUUGAGACACUUUCGUUGACACUUAAGAAGUUUCCCGGGACCCGCUUGGCAUCGCUUCACCCCCAGGCAGACGAGUAUAACAGGGAUACAGGGGAGUACUUCUUUGACAGGGACCCAAUUGCGUUUGGGUGUAUCCUGAAUCUAUACCGCACAUCGUCCCUCCACUUCCCUGAUCAUCUAUGCGGCAACUACCUUCGCGAGGAACUCAACUUCUGGCGAAUUCCGGAGAGUCUGGUCAGCGAGUGCUGCUGGACAGUGUUCUUUAAUGCAGAGCAGGACAAUCAAAUUUUCCGAAACCUCAAGAAGACCUUUUCCUUCCUGGACAAGGAUCCGCGACUCAAUGAGACAGGGAAAGGGGGCAUGGAGCUUUGGAUGCAUCGAAUCUGGCUCCUCUUGGACAAGCCCAACUCUUCUCGUGCAGCUAAGAUCUGGAGCACCUUCUACAUGUUCCUUGUGUUCAUCUCAGUGAGCCUUUUCUGCGCGCAGUCACACCCUACGUUCCGAGUGGCCAGGGCCGACGUCAGCCACACCAUGCGCAACAUCACCAACCCCAAGAUCCGCAUGUACCACGAGACCAACAUGCGCCCUGAGUUGUACUGGCUUGAUGUGGCCUGUGUGGUCGUGUUCACUGUGGAGAUUCUUCUCUAUCUCCUCUGUGUCCCGGACAAAGGCAGGUUCUACAAGAGCUUCACGAACGUCAUCAAUUUCAUCCUUGUCUUGGUUGCAUGGGCUGCAUUUGCAAUGGAGAUGACGAUGGGGGAUGAGCUUCUUGACGGGAAGGGCGUCACCUAUUGGACAUACGGGACGCUGAAGCUUCUUCUCGUUCUCAGGAUACUCCGGUUCUUUCGCCUGUCACAGCGGUACUCGUCCCUCAAUGUCAUCGUGCUUGCCAUGAAGGCAAGUCUUAACGAGCUAAUUCUGAUGGUGAUGUCGUUUUUCCUGACGGCCACCAUCUACGGCUGCGUCAUCUACGUCGUGGAGAUACACAGCAACUCCUUCCACGACAUCCCAGUUUCAAUAUGGUGGGCUAUUGUUACCAUGACGACCGUUGGAUACGGUGACUUUUACCCCUUGUCUGGGCUUGGGCGCACCAUAGGGACGUUCUGUGCUAUAUGUGGUCUGGUUGUGUUGUCAAUGCCCAUUGCUAUUAUUGCCGCCAAUUUCAACAACUUUCAGUCUCGGAACGAGGAACGACAGCAACGUCGACGGGGAAACCAAAACACCCCCCUGAAGAAGAUAGGAUGGAUGGCAAACGUCCCUAUAAUCCACCAGUACACGUCCAAUCCAAUGGACCCGAACUCUCUCUCAACAAAGGCCAAGAUUAAAAUGAUUACAACGAAACCGCAGAAUCGGAACAAUUAAUAUGGGGUGCAGUGGACGGCUAGUGGAUCGUUUGCAAUUUGCACCAGAAUUUGAAAUGACUUCUGGCUACUGUGGUCUUUCUGAUCGACCAUCACAUUUAUGGAUACAGUGGAGAAUACAGUCUGCCGUAGGAUACCCAACAGCAAAGGUUUCAAAGACAUUUUCAGCAAUGACUCGGCUGUCGCACGCAGUGUCGUGUCCACAUUCGGUUUUUAAUAUGUUUGGCAGCUGCAAACGUCAUCCGGCGACUUGAAUCGCCUUCAGCAAGUACAACGAACUUUUGAUAGUUGAUAAUAGACACGUUAACGUUAUUGUACGUUGGAAUAUACAAGUUCAACUGCUGUCAUGUGUGUGGAAACUGGUACUGUGUAAAUAAUGACAUAUUCUGACAAGUGUUUGUUGGAGGGAGAAUCUCUCAUGUUGAUGCAAUUGUCAGUAUCCCUGCUGUGAUAUUGUUUGGCUAUUUCCGCUUGUCAUUCAAACAUUGAAGUGAUAUGUAUUUCUAUAUAUCUUGAUAUUUGUUGAGCAUUUUCUGAUGUAGUUUGGACACCCUUCUGUAUGAUUGUAGAUUGCAGAUUGCGAUAACAACAGUAAUAAUAAUAAUAAUAAUAAUAAUAAUAAUAAAAAUAAUAAUAAUUAGUAAUGACGAUACUAAUAAUUCACGUUUAUCAUUUUAAUCUUUACUUUCUAGCAUGUAUAUUGCAUUGCGCUUACAACACAUUGCGCGUGCUCUCACCGAGUACAGUUUAUCCGUCACAUGUACAUAACAUCUAUCCGUCUGAAAGAUAUAUCCGCCGAAACUGAUUCAAUCACAAUUUUACUCUUGGAAUUCCUUAUUUGUGUUGUAAACCUGGAUAUAUAUGUCAGGUAUCGGGUAUAUUAAGGUUAUAGGUCAGAUAUCGGGUAUAUCAAGGUUAUGUCAGGUAUCGGGUAUAUUAAGGUUAUAUGUCAGAUCUCGGGUUUAUCCAGGUUAUAUGUCAGAUAUCGGGUAUAUCCAGGUUAUAUGUCAGGUAUCGGGUAUAUCCAGGUUAUAUGUCAGAUAUCGGGUAUAUCAAGGUUAUAUGUAAGGUAUCGGGUAUAUCCAGGUUAUAUGUCAGGUAUCGUGUACAUCCAGGUUAUAUGUCAGAUAUCGGGUAUAUCAAAGUUAUAUGUCAGAUAUCGGGUAUAUCAAGGUUAUAUGUAAGUUGUCGGGUAUAUCCAGGUUAAAUGUAAGUUGUCGGGUAUAUCCAGGUUAUAUGUCAGAUAUCAGGUAUAUCCAGGUUAUAUGUAAGUUGUCGGGUAUAUCCAGGUUAUAUGUCAGGUAGCAGGCAUAUCCAGGUUAUAUGUCAGGUAUCGGGUAUAUCAAGGUUAUAUGUCAGGUAUUGGGUAUAUCAAGGUUAUAUGUCAGGUAUCGGGUAUAUCAAGGUUAUAUGUCAGGUAUCGGGUAUAUCCAGGUUAAAUGUAAGUUGUCGGGUAUAUCCAGGUUAUAUGUCAGGUAUCGGGUAUAUCCAGGUUAUAUGUCAGGUAGCAGGCAUAUCCAGGUUAUAUGUCAGGUAUCGGGUAUAUCCAGGUUAUAUGUCAGGUAUUGGGUAUAUCCAGGUUAUAUGUCAGGUAUCGGGUAUAUCCAGGUUAUAUGUCAGGUAUUGGGUAUAUCCAGGUUAUAUGUCAGGUAUUGGGUAUAUCAAGGUUAUAUGUCAGGUAUCGGGUAUAUCCAGGUUAUAUGUCAGAUAUUGGGUAUAUCCAGGUUAUAUGUCAGGUAUCGGGGAUAUCCAGGUUAUAUGUCAGAUAUCGGGUAUAUCCAGGUUAUAUGUCAGAUAUCGGGUAUAUCAAGGUUAUAUGUAAGGUAUCGGGUAUAUCCAGGUUAUAUGUCAGGUAUCGGGUAGAUCCAGGUUAUAUGUCAGGUAGCAGGCAUGUUCAGGUUAUAUGUCAGGUAUCGUGUAUAUCCAGGUUAUAUGUCAGGUAUCGGGUAUAUCUAGGUUAUAUGUCAGGAAAUCGGGUAUAUCAAGGUUAUGUCAGGUAGCAGGCAUAUCCAGGUUAUAUAUCAGGUAUCGGGUAUAUCCAGGUUAUAUGUCAGGUAUCGGGUAUAUCAAGGUUAUAUGUCAGGUAGCAGGUACAUCCAGGUUAUAUGUCAGGUAUCGGGUAUAUCCAGGUUAUAUGUCAGGUAUUGGGUAUAUCAAGGUUAUAUGUCAGGUAUCAGGUACAUACAGGUUAUAUAUCAGGUAUCGGGUAUAUCCAGGUUAUAUGUCAGGUAUUGGGUAUACCAAGGUUAUAUGUCAGGUAGCAGGUAGAUCCAGGUUAUAUGUCAGGUAUCGGGUAUAUCCAGGUUAUAUGUCAGGUAUCAGAUAUAACCAGGUUAUAUAUGUCAGGUAUCAGGUAUAUCCAGGUUGUAUGUCAGAUAUCGGGUAUAUCAAGGUUAUAUGUCAGAUAUCGGGUAUAUCAAGGUUAUAUGUCAGGCAUCAGGUAUAUCCAGGUUAUAUGUCAGGUAUCGGGGGUCCAGGUUGUAUGUCAGAUAUCGGGUAUAUCCAGGCUAUAUGUCAGGUAUCGGGUAUAUCAAGGUUUUAUGUCAGAUAUCGGGUAUAUCCAGGUUAUAUGUCAGGUAUCAGAUAUAUCCAGAUUAUAUGUCAGGUAGCAGGUACAUACAGAUUAUGUGUCAGGUAUCAGAUAUUUCCAGGUUAUAUGUCAGGUAGCAGAUAUAUCCAGGUUAUAUAUGUUAAGUAUCGGGUAUAUCCAGGUUAUAUGUCAGGUAUCGGGUAUAUCCAGGUGGUAUUCCAGGUAUAUACAUCGAACACAACGAAUACAAUGAAAGCACAUUUCAACUAUCCUCAUAUCGGAGUUAUACAGUACUUAACCAAAUCAUACCACAACUAUAGGCGAUGGCCUUACAUGUCCAGUGUAUUAAUACUGAACGCUGUUAGAAGAUGUUCUGCAAGUGUAGAUGAAAGUGGGUCAAUGUGACACAAAAGCACUAUAUUUUCCGCACACUACGCGCGUCAUAUACAGCAUUGGCUUGCUGCGUGUUAACCAGUUAUGACACACAAAUAACACGUUAAAACGUUGUUGUCCUUUUAAGAUGUAUUUUUGAAUAAACAAUCUGAAACACUAACAACUGGAUUUUUUGUCUGGAUGUUUAGUAACAGAGAGGAGGGCCUGCACUAGUGAAUAUUGGAGUGAGUGAGUGAGUUG